GAAGUGCGAUAAGCAAUGCGAAUUGCAGAACCGUGAGUCAUCAGAUUUUUGAACGCAACUGGCGCCGACUGGCUCUCCAGUCGGCAUACUUGUUUCAGUGUCUCUUAAUAUCCUAACCCAUAUCAUAAUGCGAGAGAUAUCCUUCUCUUGCUAAACAUGAAAGCACUCUGCGCUCAGCGAGCAGCUUCGACUCGUCGAGGUUGCACUCAAUGCAGCAGUCACAUUGCUCACAAUGUGAACUCAUUGAGAGCUGAGGCAGUGCAGCGUAAGCUGCCAGUGCUUAGUCACACAAACUUACUUGCAUCUGAAAUCAAGCAGGAUCACCCGCUGAACUUAA
This 337-nucleotide unclassified non-coding RNA is filed under the name uncultured fungus. RNAcentral's name for it is "sequence contains ITS1". The stretch from base 1 to 103 matches the Rfam family "5.8S ribosomal RNA", at positions 50 to 154 of the family's 154-position model. Lineage: Eukaryota; Fungi. The record is from RNAcentral.